Molecule: ribosomal RNA, 423 nt
Filed under: uncultured Bacteroidales bacterium
Lineage: Bacteria; Pseudomonadati; Bacteroidota; Bacteroidia; Bacteroidales
Description: bacterial SSU rRNA
Rfam family: Bacterial small subunit ribosomal RNA
Source: RNAcentral
UGAGGAAUAUUGGACAAUGGAUGGAAAUCUGAUCCAGCCAUGCCGCGUGCAGGAAGACGGCCCUAUGGGUUGUAAACUGCUUUUGUAUGGGAGCAAUAAGCUAUUUGCGAAUAGUGAUGAGAGUACCAUACGAAUAAGCAUCGGCUAACUCCGUGCCAGCAGCCGCGGUAAUACGGAGGAUGCAAGCGUUAUCCGGAUUUAUUGGGUUUAAAGGGUGCGUAGGCGGUUCGGUAAGUCAGUGGUGAAAGUUUACUGCUUAACAGUAAAAAUGCCAUUGAUACUGUCGGGCUAGAAUAUGGUUGCUGUGGGUGGAAUGUGUGGUGUAGCGGGUGAAAUGCUUAGAUAUCACACAGAAUAUCGAUUGCGAAAGGCAGCUCACAAAGCCAUUAUUGACGCUGAGCACGAAAGUGUGGGGAUCAAACA